This 810-nucleotide ribosomal RNA is filed under the name uncultured Bacteroidota bacterium. RNAcentral describes it as "bacterial SSU rRNA". It matches the Rfam family "Bacterial small subunit ribosomal RNA", at positions 62 to 868 of the family's 1533-position model. Lineage: Bacteria; Pseudomonadati; Bacteroidota. The record is from RNAcentral.
UCGAACGGGUAACAGGGUGUAGCAAUACAUGCCUGACGAGUGGCGCACGGGUGCGUAACACGUAUGUAACUUGCCUCUAACUGGGGGAUAGCUUCGAGAAAUCGAAAUUAAUACCCCAUAGUAAUAAGAUCAGGCAUCUGGUUUUAUUUAAAGAAUUUCGGUUAGAGAUAGACAUGCGUCCUAUUAGCUUGUUGGUGAGGUAACGGCUCACCAAGGCUACGAUAGGUAGGGGGCCUGAGAGGGUUUACCCCCACACUGGAACUGAGACACGGUCCAGACUCCUACGGGAGGCAGCAGUGAGGAAUAUUGGUCAAUGGGCGCAAGCCUGAACCAGCCAUGCCGCGUGCAGGAUGAAGGCCCUAUGGGUUGUGAACUGCUUUUCUCUGGGAAUAAACCCCUUUACGUGUAAAGGGCUGAAGGUACCAGAGGAAUAAGGACCGGCUAACUUCGUGCCAGCAGCCGCGGUAAUACGAAGGGUCCAAGCGUUAUCCGGAUUUAUUGGGUUUAAAGGGUGCGCAGGCGGGACCUUAAGUCAGUGGUGAAAUCUCGUAGCUCAACUACGAAACUGCCAUUGAUACUGAGGUUCUUGAAUGUAGUUGACGUUAGUGGAAUGUGUCAUGUAGCGGUGAAAUGCUUAGAUAUGACACAGAACACCGAUCGCGAAGGCAGCUAACGAAGCUAUUAUUGACGCUCAGGCACGACAGCAUGGGGAGCAAACAGGAUUAGAUACCCUGGUAGUCCAUGCCGUAAACGUUGAUCACUCGACAUUGGCGAUAUACUGUCAGUGUCCAAGCGAAAGUGUUUAGUGAU